UACAGAGGGUGCGAACGUUGCUCGGAAUUACUGGGCGUAAAGCGCGUGUAGGCGGUCUGUUAAGUCGGAUGUGAAAUCUCCGGGCUCAACCCGGAAACUGCAUCCGAUACUGGCAGACUUGAGGAUGGUAGAGGUCGGUGGAAUACCAGGUGUACCGGUGAAAUGGGCAGAUAUCUGGUGGAACACCAGUGGCGAAGGCGGCCGACUGGGCCAAUCCUGACGCUGAGACGCGAAAGCCAGGGUAGCGAACCGG
RNAcentral lists this ribosomal RNA (253 nucleotides) under uncultured bacterium. RNAcentral describes it as "partial 16S ribosomal RNA". It matches the Rfam family "Bacterial small subunit ribosomal RNA", at positions 524 to 776 of the family's 1533-position model. The record is from RNAcentral.